This is a long non-coding RNA of Gasterosteus aculeatus aculeatus (three-spined stickleback), 484 nucleotides long. The record is from Ensembl. Lineage: Eukaryota; Metazoa; Chordata; Actinopteri; Perciformes; Gasterosteidae.
GUGCAGACCUUCCUAUCAUCUUCUGAUGCUCAUUGCAGCUUAUUGAGCUGUACAGAUCACACAGCGGAACACAAAGUCUACAGUCUACGAGGUGUACACUUCUUUGUGAGGAGCCUGAAGAACUGUCUGAAUUCAGACCCGGAGGAGACUUGUGUCCAGGGAGUCCAACUUGGAAUAGUCACAGUGGUUGAAGGUGACGUUGGAACGGUCCGAUCAAGUCCAACAACAACAAGCAUCGCCCUGGUUAUUGAGCAAUGGAUUGUCCUGCAUGAUGCAUGCGACCUCUCAGCAGCAUUCUCUCAUCUGUGCUCUGUGUGUUUUUACUAAAUGCCACUGAUGUGUUGACCACAUCUGGUGAAAAGCAUUUCUAAAGACCAGUGUACAGUUGUCUUGUUACAGACUAUACGAUAGGUGCUUUUGUUUCUGUUCAUUCAUAAUAAAGGCAAAAAAGCCUCAUACUGUUUUUGGUUGAUUUAUUUUUUCU